RNAcentral lists this long non-coding RNA (8544 nucleotides) under Homo sapiens (human). RNAcentral's name for it is "HSALNT0403567". Lineage: Eukaryota; Metazoa; Chordata; Mammalia; Primates; Hominidae. The record is from RNAcentral.
AUUAGGACAAAUAGCUGAUGCAUGUGGGGCUUGAAACCUAGAUGACGGGUUGAUAGGUGCAGCAAACCGCCAUGGCCCAUGUAUACCUAUGUAACAAACCUGCACAUUCUGCACAUGUAUUCCAGAACUUAAAGUAAAAGGUAAAAAAAAAAGAACGUGACACCUUCCUCUCCAUGACUGUCUUUCAUGCUCCUGCUUUUGCCAUGUGAUGUGCCUGCUCCCCUUUGCCUUUCACCAUGAUUUUAAGCUUCUUGAAUCCCUCACCAGAAGCCGAGCAAAUGUCAGUGCCAUCCUUGUGCAACUUGCAGAACCAUGAGUCAAUUAAAUCUCUUUUCUUUAUAUAUUACCCAGUCUCAGGUAUUUUUCGUUGUUGUUUAAUAAGGAAAGGAUUUCACUAAUUUUUGAAGCAAAUAAGAUUUGUGAGUUUCAAAGAAAAGGCUAACCUUCCUAUAUUAAAUGUUUAUGUCUAAUGUUCCUCAAUUGCAAAUGCAAGUUUUGACCAUUAUGCAAAACAAAGUCCUGGAAUUUACAACAUUUUCUUGAUGGUAUUAACUCUUUUUUCUCUGGCAUGCUAUUGAUAAUAGAUUAGAUUCAAAAGAUUGGCCGUAUUGUUCCCAGUGUCUGGCAGUAUGGAAUGGUUCAGGAGCUCUAAGGUAAAACCUAUAAGUGAAAAAUCAAUGAGAUUUUCAUUCUACAGAUCAAUAGUUUAAAAUGGUACACAGGUACUCAUAUUUGGCAACUUUCUUCUUUAUAGCAAUGUAAGAAUGCCUAGUAGAGUAGGGAUUAGGAGAACUGGUCUUGCUUGGAAAGGUUUGAGGAGGAGAAAGUGGUUAAACAGAAAAUUGAGUAAUAUUUUACUAUAUAAAUGAGAGUUGAAGGAGGGCAACCAGGAGGAAAAAAAAGCAUUACGAAAAACAAGGGAUGAUAGAGAAUGAGAUGUUUCAGGGACAGUUAGUGACUCAAUGUGAGGAGUGUGCAGGGUAUUCGAUGGAACAGUGGUGCUUAAUGGAGCCCCCAAAGCAGACAGAAAAUAGAACAGAAAUGGCCCUGCAUGCCAUGCUAAAGGAUUUGGAAUUGAUCUUGUAUUCACUGGAGAGCCGCAGGAGAAGUAUAAUAAAGGGAACAAAAGUGGACUUCAGAAUGUAGUCUGUGUGGCAUGAGAAGAUAAAUUCAGAGCACUUUCAGAAAGAAAGCAGAAAACCCUAUACUACGGCUAUUUUAUUAAUGCAGGGAAAAAUUAUGGUGUCCUGGCAUAAGAUAGCAGCAGUUGAGAAUGAAGAGGAGGGGCUGGAUUUGAGAUAUAUUAAGAACAUUGAAUCAAUAGGUUGGAAUGGUUGAGCAGUGGGGGAUUGAGGAAUUGGUGAAGAACGUAAAUGAGUCAAGGAUGACUCAUGGAUUCCUAAUUUAUAAAAAAUAAAUAUAAUGGAGACAUAUAAAAUAUAAACAUUCAUUUGGUUUGUGUCAUUUUACUGAAGAAUCCUUGUUUUUAGCAUACUUUUUGUAUCAUAGAUAUUCAUUACCUUGAUUGAAAAUCGAAAGCAGAAGAAAUACAUAAAACAUUCACAACAAAGUUGCAAGAAAAUUGCUUUGAAGAUACAGUUUCCUGUUAUGUUGAUUACUUUGUCCUAGGCUAGUGUCCUUCUUUAUCUAAAUUCUGAAAUAUUAGCUAUUUUUUAUCUGACUUACAUUAUACAUCGUAUUAUGAUGCAUACAUAAAACUUUAACUUUGGGAGUUUGAAAUACACUGGACCAUAAGUUACAUGAGUUUCAGGGCUGUUUACCUCUAUAUUCCCAGCAUUUAGCACAGGGUUUCACACAUAGUAAACACUCAUUCUUGUUAAAUGAAUGAAUGAACAAAUGAAUGAAUGAAUGAAAUAAUUGUUCAAAAAAUACCAAUCAGCUGCUCAAUUUGUCCAGAAUCAUUAAAUAGCAAAUUUCUUUCUGAUAAUAAUGGCAGAAAUAUUUCAGUUCAAUUAGGUUGACAAUCAUAUUUGAGUUUCUGGUACCAAUAUACUACUCUCUGAUACGCAAUAUAAAUAAUAUCUGUAACCUAGUGUUCAUUAUCCAUGAAGUAUAAAUAAUCUUUUCAAAAUUGUUUGGAAAUGAACCAGUGGAUAUGCAUUCAGAAUUACUUUAGUUAAAACUCAAGACAUAUUAAAUGUACAUAGUACGUUCAUGUCCUUCUUUAUUUUGUCCUGUCCCCACUUUGGUUGUUGCCUGGCUGGUUCCCAAAGCAAUUCCGAAUUCCAGCAUGCAGAAUUUUAUGUGAAACUUACCUAAGACAAAGGAUGUUUUAUUUUUUCAAUGACCACUUUCUUUCAUGGCUUGGCACAUAAAAGAUGUAGACUUUCUCACUCUAUUUCUGAAUAAUGGAUUUUAAAACCAUAUUAGACAUCUCCAACAUAAUAUAAACUGAGGGAGUACAUGGUAGAGUAUCUUAGGAAUGUCCUGCCAGUAAACACAAGUAAUUAAUCAACCCACACAUUUUUUUUUGUUAGCCUAAUUUACUCCCAUGAGAUACAGCAGUAGUAAAAUUCAUUCAUCCAACAUUCUUUAAUACUUGCCAGAUAAGAAGGGCUACUUGCCCCCACUUCAGUGACAGGUUAAUAGUUCUAUUUUGGAAAUGUUUGUCUAAAUCCAAGAACUCAGGCUCAGUGCCAUUUAUUUAUUUGGGAGAUUGUUGGCAGGAAAGUACUAUACCCUUACCUGGCAGGAGUAGUGCGGGUGAGGAUUUUGCCUUCAUUUUCAUUUGUGCUUAAUUCAAUCUGAUAGAAAAUAGCUGCAGAGCACAAGUGAGAAGGAAUAUAUACAGAAUUUUCAAGGAAGAAAAAUAAAAUUGGUGUUAAAAUUAACUUCACUUCAACAUCUAAAGUGAAGUCUCAUUAUCCUGUGUACCUCAAGGACAUAUUCUCCAAACUUCUCAGCUAUUUCUGAGGGGCUCUCCACUUAUAUUUCAACUUCCUUCUUUGUAGCCCCAGAUAUAGGCUUACACCUCCUGGCUUGACUGCUUCUCUGAUGCUAUGAACUCUACAUUCAAGUUUCAAGCCAAUAGAGCUCCAAACAUACAAUUUCUCUGUAUCACAUUCACAAUGUUCUCUAGGCUUAAAGGGAGAAGAGUGACCUCCACCCCUCCUGCACUGGAGUAUAUUUCUCUCUCUUAAGACAACCCUCAAUCUACCUCCUAUUUAGUGAUGUUUCCACAUUUACUGUGCAUUUCAGGUAACAGCAGCCACAGGUGGUUACAUCUAUCCUUGCUUUGUACUGUCUAGCUCAACUACCACCACACCUAACUGUACCAUGCCAUUCUACUCCAGUGGCCAGAUGCCAGAUGGGCACUAAGGUGUCUGGCACCAUCCACAGACUGACCAGUAUAUGCCAUAGCCUAGUGCAAGUGCAAGAGGCCAACUCAAUCAGUCUGCCUUUGAAUGCUAGAUCUGGACACCAGAAAAUCUGGACACCAAAAAUCAAGAUGUCCACAUAAGUCAUACUUUCAGGCUGCCCUGAUUAUUUCUCAAGUACCUCAUAGCUAAAAUGUAAAAGGCCUAGCUAUUUUUAAAAAAAUUUUAAAUAGCUCUGAACCCGAGAAUGCUUUAAGUUCACAGUAAUAUAGAUGAAAGCUAAAAUGUCAAAGGUACAGCUAUAAUAACUUAAAAGACAAGUACCUUUGUGAAUCAGAAAUAAUCUAGAAAGAGUUUUAGAAAAUAUAUAAAUCUAUGGUCAUUCUUGGAUCUGGCUGGAGAAGCAGGCAGAACCAGCUAAAUGAUAACAUUGACUUUUUGAUAUGCCAUUCUGCAUACCGGUCUCACAUUCAGGCUGGUAACAGGACGGGUGCAGUUGUUCCUGCCAUCGCAUCUCAUAUUCACAUAGGACCGUAUUAAGAAUAUAAAAAAACUAGAGGAGCACCUAGGUCUCCUUCGUAAGAAAAUCUUUCUGGAAUGCCUCCACGUAGACUUCCCUAUAUAUCCUAUUGGCCAGAAUUUUGUUCUAUAUCCAUUCUUUACCUGAUCACUGGGAAGGCAGAAGGAAUUGCCAUAACUGGAAGAAAAAAACAACCUGUGGAAUAGAAUGUUUGGGAAGAAUCCAGCAAAAAUGCCCACCAUGAUACAUCUUUUGCUCAUACAUUAUGUUAAAAAUGCUGAUGUCAAAAUUAAACACACUCAGUCCUUCUUCAAAUAGAAACAACUCAAAGUUUCAUCCUUGGUCAAAUUCAGUAUUUUGCAUGAUGUGUAAUCCUCAUCACAUCUCUGCUCAGUUUUUCAUGUUCUAUAUCAGAGGUCAGCAAAAUAUGGCCCUAUAGCCAAAUCUGGCCUGCUGCCUGUUUUUGUGUGGCCCACAAACUAAUGUGUGUGUGUGUAUGUGUGUUUACAAUUGUUAAUGUUUACAUUUAAAACAAGAAUAAAUCAUAUUCUUUGUUUUUCCUUUUGUCCUGGAAAUUCUAAAAUAUUUACCAUAUGGUCCUUUGCAGAAAAUGUUUGCCAACUCCUGUUCAAUGGGACUUUGAAUGAAAAGACAAGUUUUCCACCCCAAUAUAACCAAUAUACAAUGAUACAUCAUUUUAAAAAUGUAAUUCUAAAAAGGGAUUGUUGGGUGACACUCUUACAUGAAUUUUGUCCUAAUAUUGGUCUUUGUGAGGGUGGUGGCCAAUGCUCCUUGGAAUGUCCUGCCUAUUCUUUUUUCCUAAUGUGGCCUUACGUAAACUGAGGUCAUGGAAGCAUGAAAUCCAAAAUUUUCUAACAAGGCUUCCAAGGGUGGAUCUUAUUUGUUUCAGUAGAACAAAACUUGCUAUUCUAAUGGUCUCUCCACUUUUCCUUCUGCCUCUGAGCAAGAUGAAGAAAAAAAGAUGAAGCUGUUUUCCAGAGACCAGCACUUCAUCCCUGAGAAAAUGUCAAGAUUAUAGGCAUGCUCUAUAGAAGAUAAUGAGUUAAUACCGAAUGGCUAAAUCAGGGGAGUAUUUGAUUGGGGUUCCCAGAAACCAACAAGAUGUGGAUUCAUAUUCAAAUGCUUCCAGGAGAAUCAAGUAAGGAAGUUAAGAAAGAGAAAGAAAGGAAACAAAGGUUUUAUUAGUCCAUUUUCCCAUUGCUGAUAAAGACAUAACUGAGACUGGACAAUUUACAAAAGAAAGAGGUUUAAUGGACUCAGAGUUUCACAUGGCUGGGGAGGCCUCACAAUCAUGGUGGAAGGUAAAAAGCACGUCUCACGUGGUGGCAGACAAGAGAAGAGAGAACUUGUGUAGGGAAACUCCUCUAUAUAAAACUGUCAGAUCUUGCGAGACUUAUUCACUAUCACAAGAAUAGCACGGGAAAGACCUGCCCUCAUGAUUUAAAUACCUCCCACUGGGUUCCUCCCACAACAUGUGGAAAUUGUGGGAGCUACAAUUCAAGAUGAGAUUUGGGUAGGGAUACAGCCAAACCAUAUCAUAGGGGAUGUCCCUCUCCUAUUAACAUUUUUUAAAAUUAAGCCCUUAGUGAAUCCACUAUCCUGAAGUUCUUCCAUCCUACUGUUCUCAAAGCAGACACUAAAACUAAGGCUUAAAUGCAAAUGGUUUAUUUUGGUCUGUGAUUGGGAAUUAAAGGAAAAAGGAGUGAAGGUAACCAGGAGGCACUCUGGAAUUGAGUUGAUGCCACUGUGAACAACUGGGCUUGGAUUCUACUGGGCACUUCUGAGAUGCUCUUAAAAAUGCACCUCAGAAUUGUCUGCUCAACUUCACUGCAGGAAGGGAGGAUUAGCUCUUGGGCUCCCCUUCUCCAUUUAAUAAAUUUUGCCUCACCGGGCAUUAGCUCCCUCAUAAGCCCAAGUUGCACAAGGGCCAGAGGUAAAAGGCAUACAAUGCAGCUGAAGUGAAGUGCCACCACAUAACACUUGUGCAAAACUGGUGGCUGUGGCAAAAAUUAAAGAAAAGGUGAUCCAUGCAGAUGUGAGCAGGGGACAAGAGUGUCUUACAUAGCCUGCUAUACUUGGAGAGAACAGAAAAUGUAUCAUAAUGCUCCAGCCAUUUCAUUUGAGUCUCAUGCUGAACAAACCUGCUUCCUCAGCACAGUGAAUGAACUCUCAGCUCUGCUAUAUUUGCUAUUUUAAUACUUGAGAUAUGCUUCUUCUAUGGAAGAUCCACAUGUAUUGACUCUCCCUCUAUAGGAUGAACACUUACAUAUUUUGACAGUUAAUGAUAGGUGUCAACUUGGCUGGAUCAAGGAAUGUCUAGAAACCUGGUACAGACUUCUUCUGGGGUCUGUCUGUGAGGGUGUUUUCCCGAGAAGAUUUACAUGUGAGUUUGAGUGGACUAAGCAGGAAGAUCUGCCCUCAGUGUGGGCAGGCAUCAUCCAAUCUACUGGGGAUCCAAAGAGAACAAAAAUAGAGAAUAGGUGUAUGUGUCAAUCUAUCUGCUACAACAAGAAUACACUCUUUCUCUCCUGUCCUUGGACAAAUCUGGGCUCCCCAGCCUUUGGACUUAAGAUUUGAACUCCAAAACUUAAGACCAGUGUCCUCCCAGGUUCUCACACCUUUGGCCUCAGACCCUGAGUUACACCAUCUGUUUUCCUGGUUCCAGGCCUUUGGACUUAGACUGAGUCAAGCUACUGGCAUCUCAGGGUCUCCAGAUUGCAGGUGACCUGUCAUGGGACUUCUCAGCCUCUAUAAUCACAUAAACCAAUCCCCUCAUAAUUCCUGUCUCAUAUAUUUCUAUCUAAUCCUAUUGAUUCUGUCCCUCUGGAAAACCCUGACUGUAUCAGUGUUGAUUUAUAAUUUUUUAAAAUAGUCGCAGAAAUUCAUUUGGGAGAGUAAUUUUUGAUAUCCUCUUAAAAAGUAGGGAACUGAGAUCAAAUAACUUGUCCAAAGUUCCUUUGUAACUUUGCCCUUAGUGUCAAUAUAGUCAGCCCUCCAUAUCUGCAUAUUCAACCAACACUGAAGUAGCUUUAUUGAGUACAAAUGUUCCUUUUACAUUUUUUAAGCACUUGGAAGUUCUCUGAAAAAAAUAAAUAAAUCUGCUAAAAACACAAAUUUUUAUUGGCUUAAAGUAAAUUUUGGUUUUUUGAUUACAUUUUACUAAAAAAAGAUGCCAAAAUAUACUAAUCCUGAAAGAAGAUCUGAUGAGAGAAAAAUAACCAAUAAACUUAAGUCUGCAGCCAUUCUAAGGGCAUUCUGCUACUUUUACUUCCAAGACAAGAAUGAUUUAUCAUUAAAUAUAGUUGAAACUUUAUGGUCUUAUUUGGCUGUUUACCUCACUCACAAAAAUAACUGCCCUAUACAUGACUGUAUUUCAUUGUCCUAAUCUGGUUUCAUGUUUUUUGUUGUUAUUAUUUAGUGUAAAAACUGAAUGCUAACCCAUGUUCAUAUGUGCAUUUUUAAAAGCUAUACCUGUUGAAAUGUUGGAUAUUUUCACUAGCUCUCUUUUAGUCAUAUUAGCCUGUAAAAGUUUAUUGAAGACUAUUCAAUUACUGUACAUUGUUUCCUGCAAAAAAAAGUAUUGAAUUUUUUUCUGACCUCCCUUACUGAGAAUAAUGAAGACCUAGGAGAAUAAGGUACUUAUAUUUCAAAGUCUCUUAAAGUUAUUGCAUUUAUUUUCUUUCACAAAACAAAAGAAAGCAGGAAAGCAAAACCUAGUUUAAAUGAGUUGUUUUAACUAACUACUUCUUGACAGCUAAGAAAAAUUUCUUCCCAGUUGCCUUCUUUCCAACGUACACCAUCUAAUUCUUUCAUAGACAGUAAGAACACAUGGAGAGUGGGGAAGAAUGUAGCUUGCAGAAUUUAGUGAUUUAAUUGGUGGCCUUCUCAAGGGGUGCUACUGGAAUUUAGGCAGUUUCUACCAAAGUCACCCAAAACCGAACUUGAACUGGCUGCAUGAAGUUUUCCUACAUGUUUGUCAUCAAGAGUUCAAGCCGCUGCAGCACUUAGAGACCUGACCAUUCUACUGAAGAAAAGAAAUACUAUAGUAAACUCUAGUUGGUUGUGAAAUGAAUGUUUUCAAUUGCUAGAAGCUAAUGAUAAAAUUUUUCUAGUAAUACAUUGAUUUUUACAUUUACAGAUUUCCAUAGGAUUGACAAAGAUGCCUCUUCAUUUUUGAGAAAAGUCCCUUCAUUGCAAUAUUUUAUGAAAAGUUCUAUGUGUAACUAUUUGGUACAAAGUGUAAAUUUAGGUCUUCUUAAAAUGACUCUACCCUUAAAUAAUUUUGUUUUCAAGGGUCACGUCUCUUGGGUAAUGACUAACGUUCUCCUAGUGAUUAGUAAUAACAAUUAUGUAGAAUGGUGAUUCUUGGUGACUUUCUGUCCCACUGAAUGAAACAACAUAUUUCAAAAUCAAGACUCUGGGACAUUUGGUUCUUCUAAGUCACAUUUUUUCCCCAGUAUAUAAAGUCAAAUUUUUAUGUAAUUUUAUAUAAAUCACUUUUAAAUAAAAAAAAUUAAUAAAAUAUCAACAAGAAUAAUUGCUUAUUAGUGUCUUCUUGAAAUCUCUAAAUUACCAUUUGAAAAUUGUUUUUCAAUGUUUUUGGCUAUGUAAUCAUUAGAAUAAAAACUACGUUUCUGUUUAAUCAUUUGGACAUCUGGACCAAGC